AUUUUUAACAUCUUACAUUAUUAUGGUGCAUUUGUUACAAUUAAUCAAUCACGGUUCAUAAACUAUUAUUAACUUAGUUUAUUCAGAUUGUUAUUCAGAUUGCCUUAGUUUUUACCUAAUGUAUUUUUUCUGUUCCAGAAUUCCAUCUAGGAUGUCACAUUAAUUUAAUAGUCACAUCUCCUUAGGUUCCUCUUGAUAGAGAUUCUUAGACUUUUCUUGUUUUUGGUGACUUUGACAGUUUUGAAGAGUACCGGGCAGAUAUUGUGGAGGACAUCCCUUAGUAUGGUUAUAGAUGAUGUUUUCCUCAGAUUAGACUGGAGCGAUCUGUUCUUGGGAUGAAGACCACAGAGGCAACAGAAACAAUCUUUGUCCAACCAGCAAAAGAGGGAUUUGGAGAAAGAAAAUGAAGCAGCUUAUGGAACAGAAGGUCAGGAGAGUCCCAAGAAGAAGGAUCAUAUCUGGUUUCCUCUUCUGCCUCUCCCCAUGGUGUCUAGGAGAGUGCACACUCAGUCAGCAUUGAUAACUAACUCUGGUAAAUAAAGAAAAGGCAAACAUUAGGAGACAGAAAACCAGAUACUAAUCUCACUUUUACAAAUGAGGGCAAGCCAUCCAACCUCGGUGAGCCUCAGUCCUCUCAUCUUUGUAAUGGUGACCGUAAGAAUUCAUUCCACUUUCAUGCCACACAGUGGUUACAAUGCUUAAAUGAGGAAGGUGACGUGAAAGUGGCUUAUCAUCUCAGCUAUAGACAUGCCACAUUGCUAUUAGGUCACCAAGGCACGCUAGAGACAAUCAGAAUAAAACCUGGGCAAGCUCAGUCAACCCUGGCAACCCUGGCAUUCUGAUACUCCUAGAACAGUGUCUUAUGUUUAUUCUUUUGGGGUAACAUUUAAGCUUUGAGGCCACAGAGCAGAAGCCUUGCCAUUUUAUAUUGAGCGCAGCAGUCAGCAUAUUAAAAACAAGGACUGCUGAACACCAGCUGCGAUGAAAUGCUUUAUCAGAGGAUGUUAAGAAGUCAGGCUCUUCCUUUCUCAGCAGUAUUUUCUCUAAUUUCUCUUUUCCCAUCUGUCCCUACCACGAAGACACUUGUUCACACUCAGACUGCUUCCUGCCUGGACCCCUGCCACCUUCUCCUGCCUGACUUUCUAUCUCUUGCCUCCUCAUCCUGUCUC
Long non-coding RNA from Homo sapiens (human), 1169 nucleotides. RefSeq lists it as uncharacterized. The transcript is spliced from 3 exons. NCBI's taxonomy places the organism in Eukaryota, Metazoa, Chordata, Mammalia, Primates, Hominidae. The record is from RefSeq and is a predicted model, not a curated record.